UUGUCGUUUGCAAAGAAGCAUUGGGGACUUUAAAUGACACUUCUCUAUAGUGUCCCCCCCCCCCCAAGUGGAAGUUUCUUUUAAGGAAAGUCACUUCCGCUCGCCAUCAAAACGAGCCUCCUCAAAGGAAUGCUAAUAUUUUCAUAGUGAGCUGGGGAGGGGACGGAGAGGCGUGCGGUGGGUGGAUCCGGAAUCGAUUCUUGCUUACAUCAUGGGCGUAAAUGAAGCGUGUCUCCAUUGAAGUCGCAGGAGUGUUAAGGCAGCAUCACGGACUGGACAGACAAAAAGGGAGCAGACUUGGGGACCAGUUCUACAAAGAAGCCAUAGAACACUGUCGCAGCUACAAUUCCAGGCUGUGUGCUGAACGCAGCGUCCGUCUUCCCUUUCUGGACUCUCAGACUGGAGCAGCUCAGAACAACUGUUACAUUUGGAUGGAAAAGAGGCAUCGAGGACCAGGACUAGCCCCUGGUCAGCUGUAUACAUAUCCAGCUCGUUGCUGGCGCAAAAAGAGACGUUUGCAUCCUCCUGAAGACUCCCGGUUGAAGUUGCUGGAGAUUAAACCUGAAGUUGACGUGCCUCUGAAGAAAGAUGGUUUUACAUCAGAGGGGACCACACUGGAAGCUCUGUUACGUGGAGAAGGGCUUGAAAAAAAGAUAGAUACUAAAGAGGAGGACACUCUACAGGAAAUUCAGAGGGUUUUGGAAAAUGAUGAAAAUGCAGAUGAAGUGAACGAGGAGGAAGAAAUGGAAGAAGAUAUUCCAAAACGGAAGAACAGGCCCAGAGGACGGGCUCGAGGCUCAGGAGGUGGCAGGCGAAGGAAUGAUGUUUCUUCCAUGGAUGACCAUGAUAAACCUUACGUUUGUGACAUCUGUGGCAAGCGCUAUAAGAACAGACCUGGUCUGAGCUACCAUUAUGCUCACACUCACCUUGCUAGUGAGGAGGGGGAUGAUGCUCAGGAGCAGGAGACACGUUCCCCACCUGUCCACAGAAAUGAAAACCAUAAACCCCAGAAAGGACCAGAUGGGAUCAUCAUUUCCAAUAACUACUGUGAUUUCUGUCUCGGAGGAUCUAAUAUGAAUAAAAAAAGUGGCCGACCAGAAGAACUUGUCUCAUGUUCAGAUUGUGGGCGCUCUGCUCAUUUGGGAAGAGAAAGCAGGAAGGAAGAAGCGGUGGCGGCACACACCACGGAGGACUUGUUCGGUUCCACAUCUGAAAGCGACACCUCCACUUUUCAUGGCUUUGACGAGGAUGAUUCUGAAGAGCCUCUCUCAAACCAGAGCAGCAGCUCCCCUUCAGCAAACAAAAAGGGCGGCUGCUAAAAUAACGAAUCCCUUACAAACUCUAAGAGCAACAUCCUGCCCUUUUUUGCUACUUUUUCUCUUGUCAUUCUUUUUGCAUUUUUAAUUAGAUCAAUUUUAACCUUUGGGUAUGUACAGUGGAAGCACAACAGGCUAAAACUUGAGCAGAUUCUUUGGAAAUAAAGUUUGGGUUAUUUGAUUUUUUAAUUAUUAUUAUAUUGUUCUCCUUCCUCCCCCUGCCCCACCCCUUUUUGUCUUUGGAAAUCUGCGGUGGAUGUCCUAAAAAAGUACAGGAGAGCUAAUUUUCUCAGCUAUUAAUAUAUACAUCUCAACUAUGAAAAAUACAGAAUGGUUAAAUGCCAGAAAUUCACCUCAAAUAGUGUUUUGAAAUAUUUAUUUAUAUAUUCUAUAUAUAAGAAAAAAGACCUUUGAAAUUAAGAAAAGGGGCAAGAAAAAAAGCAAUGAAGUCUACUUGUUAAUCUGACCAUUCAGAAAGUCAACCUGUUAUGGGAUGGAUUGUUCCAGAUACAAAGGAUACCCUUGUCAGUGUGACUUUUGCACUGUGAAAAGUUUGCAUUUACUGUAGCACACUGGAGUUUGUGACUUCCCAUUUUGUACUCCUGCUAUCCUCACAUUUAACAGUUUGAAAAAAGCAACAAAGACCAUAAAACUGCGGAAUUUCCUGCUUCCUUCCCGUGGACGUAUUUUUACUCAUUAAAGAAUGCCUCAUCUCUCUUACCUUGGCAUCUUUUUACUAGGCACUGUUUUUCUUUUCCCUGGUCCCCGUCUUCCUCACCGACAUUGUGGAAAGGAGAUUCCAAGCGCAGGAUGGAAUAUAACUGUCAAGUCACAGAGUCUGCAAAGAUGAAACAAAGGCUGUGAAUCUUUGAAGAAAUGAAAAGAAAAAAAUACCUCGUUUUUCUUUUAUUUUACUUAAGAAACAAACCCUUUUAGUCUUAUUUUUGAUAGCUCUUCUUGAAAUAAACCAAAGCAAUACUCACUAAUCUUCAAUGGGCAAUAGAGAAGACAGAAACCCUCUCUCAUUUGCUGUUCUACCAGCAAUGAGUUGAGCCACAGAAUCAAAAAGUUACCUUGCUUGUGCUCACUUGGAUUCCGAAUCCAUCAUCCUUCAAGAAAAUUGUUAAAGAAGCCAACUGAGAGUAACAGAUGCUUUGAUCUUCCUCUCAUUGCCCGAUCUUUUCAUACCUGUGUUUGAUCCAGCACAGAAGCCUGGACUGUGGAACGCCUGCUGGCACUUGCUCAGAGAAGUCUUGGGGAUUCCCUAAGCUUGUGCAAUACAAAGAAAAUGCUUACCUUAUUUGAGAUUAUCCUUUUUAAAAAUGUGUGCGCGUGCAUAUAUGCGCGUGUGUCUAUAAAGCCAGGUCAAACUGGAACUGAUCUAUAGAAGACUGAAAACAGCAAAAAAAGACGUUAUUUUAUUUAUUUCAAUAUUUAAGAGAGAAAAGUAGUGCUAAUGUUGCACAGUAUUUUUGUUUAAAAUGCAUUUUACUUCAAAAUUUGAAAGCAAUUUUUGCAGAGAGAGGACUUUUUCAAAUGCUUAAUGUAAGAUAAAGACUAUUUACUCUUAGGAAAAUAAUUUUAAAGUUAUGAAAAUAAAGAUAAAUUCUGCUCUCUCUUACUUUAAAGAUGCCAUUCGUACACAUGCUGGGUGUUUUUAUUUUUUCAAAGUGGAUUCGGUAAGUGAAAAAUGGUUUUAGCUCAUUUUUGUGAAUGUCUACUAACGUUUCCAAUUUUAAUGUACUGUACUGGGCAAAAACAAAACAAAAGAACAAAACAGUUUGAAAAAGAAAUGCUGAAUUCUGAGCAGAUUACAAGGACUAUACGUGCAGGCUGCUAGGAAUACAGAAUACAGACAAAGUUUAGGCAUUAGUUAAAAGGUAAAGGUGUGCAAGCUUCGGGUCAUUACUGACUCAUGGGGUGAUGUUACAUUAUGACAUUUACUAGGCAGAUGUUGUUUACGGAGUGGUUUGCCAUUGCCUUCUCCGGUUGUCUACACUUUACCCCCAGCAAGCUGGGUGUUCAUUUCACUGCCCUCGUAAGGUUGGAAUGCUGAGUCAACCUUGAGCUGGCUACCUGAAACCACUUCCAUGAGGAUCAAACUCAGGUCAUGAGUAGUGCUUAGACUAAAGUACUUCAGUUUACCACUCUGCGCCUUGGGACUUUUUGUGUGACUGGAGUUAGGUGCUUUACAGCACAUUCUGGGGUGAGGGGAAUGCUUCUCUGGAGGCAGCACAGGUUUAUGCCAGCGGAUUUGCCCUCUCCAGAACACUUGUGCUGGCGGAAGGGAAAACCUAUUGGGACACCCAGCUGCGGCACCCAGCUCUCUGCUGGCACGCCCAUGCUGUCCAGAGCUACGCCGGUGUACUGAGGGUGUCCUGGGGGUGGGGCUGAUAUUAGGUGAAUUCCAGAGCCCUCUUGCCACCCAUACACCAUUAGAAAGCUCUUUGGAGUGGGUGGGGCGGAAUCUGCCACUCAACAGCUCUGGAUGGAGCUGUUAAAAUGGAAAGAGUUUCGCAAAACUGUCAUCUUAAGUGGAUAAUUCAUGCUCAUACUAACAGCAGCUUGCAAUAAAAUAAUUCUGACAAGUUAUAAGCAAUACAAAAUAAGUUAUUGGAACAAUGCACUAGGUUGAACAAAAUUCCUGAAAGGGAUUUGUGUGAUUAUCCCAUUCCAGCUGCAACCCUUCAGAAUACCCUGUGUCAUUCACAAAGAGACUCUGACAUUCAGAAAUGGCUUUUUAGGGGCUACAGUAGUAAGAUAGGGAAUGCCCUUUUCCAGGACAAGAACUCUCUGUAGAUAAAUAUAUCUCAUAACUCCCAACUGUUUGCCAAAUGAUCUUUCAAUCAACUCAAUAGAUCGGUAGUAGAGUUGAUUGACAGCAUUUUUGCUGGGCAGAUGGAUACAUCAAAAAUCUUAUUUUUUUUGUCAUAAUUAGCAAAAUUCAUAAGAUGGAUCCCACCACUGUUGUUUAUACACUGUAGAUUCUUAGGACCAGUUUGUGACAAUUGCCAUGGGCAAUUAUUUUUUUAAAAAAUGAUUUAUCAGUGUCCCCCAAUGAAAGAGUUCCAUUGGAAUGGGGAAGAAUAAGAUAAGCAGGAUGCUAGAUUCCUAUGGAUUUAGUAUUUUUCCUGGGGUAAGUUACUCAAUUAGUUCAUUCUGAUGUAAACUUUUGAUGUGAGUAUGUUCACAAGGUGAUGCUAAAAAGUCCAUGGCAUGUAUGGGUAGAAGUCACUUAAAAUCCUUUUCAUAUUUACUUGGAAGUAAGUCCUACAUUAUCACAAUGGGAGUUGUUACCUCAUAAAUAUACAUAGGGUGGCUACUUAGUCCUAUAUACAUUUGGUUAUAAGUAAUGCUCAUUAAAGGUGGUACAAUGUCAUCCACUUAGGAUUCAAACUGGAAGACUUCUUUUCCUCUGAAAUUCGGGGAGCAGCCCUCUGAACUCUGUUGCUGCACAGUCAUCACAUAUUUCAACUGGACUUAAUUGGAAGUCCAAUAUGCUAAAGCUUCAUUAAAACUGUCCAGCAUUGUGCUGUGAAUUUUUCACAUCCAUUUGGAUAAAUUGCAUGCUGGGAUUUGAGACAUCUGAGUGAGAGCCCCUGCACACUGCACACUUUCUUCAAUCAAGUUUUCUUGGAAAUUGGCAGAUUACAAUUAUGCCAUUUUAUCCUCCCUCCCCAAUUAAAUACAAAAUGCAAAUCCAUAGUGAAGAGCUACAUUCUGUACUCAUUUGUUUUGUGUCUGCUCCCAAGUCACCUCUUAUGUGUUUCUGUAAAUAUUGAUUCACCUAGACAUUUUUAAAGAAAAAUAAUUGUGAAAUUGCAAUUGCUGUACAUAGUUUUUAAAAACUCUCGUUGUUUACAAUGCUGUCCUCUAAGCUGAAAAUAAAACUUCCUCCUCUA
Molecule: RNA transcript, 5218 nt
Organism: Sphaerodactylus townsendi
Lineage: Eukaryota; Metazoa; Chordata; Lepidosauria; Squamata; Sphaerodactylidae
Gene: DPF3
Gene name: double PHD fingers 3
Exons: 10
Source: RefSeq, a predicted model, not a curated record